Molecule: ribosomal RNA, 484 nt
Filed under: uncultured bacterium
Lineage: Bacteria
Description: partial 16S ribosomal RNA
Rfam family: Bacterial small subunit ribosomal RNA
Source: RNAcentral
AUUGAACGCUAGCGGGAUGCUUUACACAUGCAAGUCGAACGGCAGCGCGGACUUCGGUCUGGCGGCGAGUGGCGAACGGGUGAGUAAUGUAUCGGAACGUGCCCAGUAGCGGGGGAUAACUACGCGAAAGCGUAGCUAAUACCGCAUACGCCCUACGGGGGAAAGCAGGGGAUCGUAAGACCUUGCACUAUUGGAGCGGCCGAUAUCGGAUUAGCUAGUUGGUGAGGUAAAGGCUCACCAAGGCGACGAUCCGUAGCUGGUUUGAGAGGACGACCAGCCACACUGGGACUGAGACACGGCCCAGACUCCUACGGGAGGCAGCAGUGGGGAAUUUUGGACAAUGGGGGCAACCCUGAUCCAGCCAUCCCGCGUGUGCGAUGAAGGCCUUCGGGUUGUAAAGCACUUUUGGCAGGAAAGAAACGUCGCAGGCUAAUACCCCGUGGAACUGACGGUACCUGCAGAAUAAGCACCGGCUAACUACGUG